GUUGUCAUGAACAUAUAGUAGUAGUUGUGUCGAAUGCAGUAUAUAUCCCGCACGCGGAGAAAAUCCGCUACGUCACUUCCUCUUUCCUUAGCAGCAUCUGAGAAGACUUCUCUUCCACGAUGAGAGCCAAGUGGAGAAAGAAGCGUAUGCGAAGGCUCAAGCGUAAAAGGAGAAAGAUGAGGGCAAGAUCAAAGUAGAUGCCCACAUCCUGCCCUGAUGACUGUACAGACUUGCGUCAGUAUCUCAUCCAGCAUCAACCAUCAUUCAUGGCAAGUCGCACCACUGGGUUCCAGACUAACACCACCAGACUAUCAUAUCAGCUUCUGACUCCAGCUUGAAUGGAGCAGGGCAAGAAGAGAAGAAGAGAAUAAGAGGACGAAGAUUAUGUAAAAGCGUGGACAUUCUCCAGGUUUUGCAUCUUGGUGUUGUGGCGUGUGCAGAUAUUGCACAGGUCCAGCACUGGCCCCUGUUCUGCAAGUGACUUCCCUCACCACAACAGCAUCAGCAACAGCAACAGCAACACGUCUCUGUAGGUACGGGGCCAGAGAAAUGAGAUUGUCAACGGAGGAAGAUGGGCUCUGAAGGAGCAUGGCUUGAUUAUGCUUGUGAAGGACAGUACCAUCAGUCCCAGGUGUUAGAGCAUGGGGGGUGACUCCCCAGGUUCUGCAUAGGCCCCAGUUGCCAAGGAGACACUUUAGCUUGUAGGCCAGGGGCUUGGUGGAUAGAGGGGUACUCCGAUGAUGAUGAUGAUGAUGAUGAUGAAUGUCAGUGCGUGUAGGUUGUGUGACUGGCAGGCACGGCACCCCCCUCUGUUCACUGUUUGGAACUCAGUUGUGUGAUUAUUCUCACUGUAGGGAGUUUGUAUGGUUGCAUCAGGGAAAAAAAAACAUGUACAGAUACCAACUAAAAUAAAUGUUAAAUCUGUG
Haliotis rubra (blacklip abalone) is the source of this 926-nucleotide long non-coding RNA. RefSeq lists it as uncharacterized. Lineage: Eukaryota; Metazoa; Mollusca; Gastropoda; Lepetellida; Haliotidae. The transcript is spliced from 4 exons. The record is from RefSeq and is a predicted model, not a curated record.